Molecule: ribosomal RNA, 122 nt
Filed under: Methanothrix sp.
Lineage: Archaea; Methanobacteriati; Methanobacteriota; Methanomicrobia; Methanotrichales; Methanotrichaceae
Also listed under: 2 other names
Source: RNAcentral
CGUAGCGGCCAUAGCGGCGGGGAAACUCCCGUACCCAUCCCGAACACGGAAGAUAAGCCCGUCAACGUUCCAUGUUGUACUGAAGUGCGAGAGCCUUCGGGAACCAUGGAGCGCUGCUACGU